Molecule: long non-coding RNA, 7178 nt
Organism: Anas platyrhynchos (mallard)
Lineage: Eukaryota; Metazoa; Chordata; Aves; Anseriformes; Anatidae
Source: RefSeq, a predicted model, not a curated record
UAGUAUGAGAUUACAUUUUUUGUCCUUUCACUGGUUCUAAUCAGAAGUUACUGUAAAUAUGAUUGUGUUUAUAUCAACAGAACAAAACCUUCUACUCCUCAGGCUAGAGAACAGGAAGAUACCUGAAAAAUUAGUCUGAUUCUGCAUUUAUUGCAUUUUACUGCUUCCAUAUAAUGUAUGUUUGCUUUACAAAUAAAUUUACAUUGAUCACAUCACCUCUUCACAGCUUUCAGUCCUGUAACACCCUUCUUAUUUUGAGUUACAUUCUCCAGCAUUAUUAAUUCAGUAGUCUGUAAUUAAAUGAUUGGCUGAUCAAAUUGUUCCCUCCAGAGCACCUGUGUAAAUGCAUUGAAGACUGAUUGAUUUAACUGAGGUCACUCAGCGAUAGUUUAGUCUUCAAACUCACUGUUAUGAAAGAUGAGAAACAGAGAGGAACAUAUCUCAGGAGGGAAAGACUCUCUGAGCUGGGGGCAGGAAGACUGCAUCUUUUAACCUUGGAUAUUUUUUCUUUUAAUUCCCAAGAAGCAGAAUGAUUCUGAAACCAGAGACCCAAGACCACACAGACUGUUGUGGUUUAUUACUCUACAGUGUCAAAACUGCAGUUCAGAUUUAAAAAUACAUCAUGGUAAUUAGCUGGUUUGCAUUCUGUCACCAUGUGAGAACAAAAGGAAAAUUUGAGUGUGAGGGUGUAAAGUGUACGUCAAAUGAAAGUCUACCUAGACAAGAACCGUGAGGUUGUGAUCCCAUCUGAGGAGAUUUCAAGUUACAGAGCUGUGUUGACUUGCUGUGGAAAAAGCUGAAGAAUUGUUUCAAAAAUAAUUAUAGGAGAAGAUAGAUCUUGUUCACAGAGAUUUAAAAAUGGAAAACAUUUUAGUUAAAAGCAGUGACAUCAAUGAAGCAAAUGAAAUGAAAUUAAACAUGAAGGACCAGCUUGAGUGACAGUGGAAACCAGUGGAAGUCUAAUGUACAAGGACAAAUAUAUUUGUACAAUAUAAUAGAGAUGUUGAUUUCAUUGGGCCAAAGCUGCUGACUUACUGAGUGACUGGCUCUGAAAAGCUGCCCCUGAAGGCAGAGGAGGAAGGGAAGAUAGAAGAACUCCAUGCAGGAAAAAGAGGUACAACUGUUGCAAAACAGCUGAGGACUGCUGCCACUCGCCACUUGGCUCAGCCAAUGGAGGUGAUACUUGCUCCACUCACUGUCUGGUUCAAAAAGGAAAUAAAUGAGCAGGUCCCUACAAUGAGGACCUGUAUUGGUGAUGCUGUACUGUUCAUUGAUGAUGAUGUAAGGUGCUUCUUUUCUGUUCUUUUUUUUUUUUUUUUCCCUUCUGUUUUUCUUUGCCCUUUUCUUCUCUGCUCCUUUAACCUAUCAGGUGUUCAUUGCAAUCUCUUAGGUGAUAUGCACAACUAACUUAUUAUCUCAUGAGCUUUAUCAUGACCUCUAUGCAAGCAACUGUCACUUUGCAUUUUCAUUCUACAUGUUGUUGUCUUCAAACUGCCGUAGUCUACCUUACAAUAUUGCAAAGUUAAGUUUGGUGCAGGUAACACAUUCCUUUGUUAUAAGGUCAACUUCUCCUCUAUUGCUGCCUGGUUUUGAAGCCGACAGUGCUACCUGAGCCAUCCCUGCUUACAUAAAGUUGAUUUGUAACUUCUGACGUGCUGCAGAAACUUUCAGGAACGUCCAUCUAAACAAUUAGAUUAAAUUACAAAACAGUUUUUUUCUUAGAAAGUUUCCAUAUAAAUGCCGUCUCUUCUAGUAUAUGACACUGAUUAUUAUCUGAUGUUCAAACAAGUGUUGAAAAAGACAUUAUAGAAGGUAGUUGGGAUGUAUAUAACCCAUCCAAAAGGCAUGUUUUUCAGGUGUGGGUUUUUUUUUCUACUUAAACCAUGAAUGCUUUGUAUUCAAUAAUAUAAAGCUUUUACCCCUCUCUGAUCUAAACUGCACACUAUAAUACAUUUCACUCCAUUAUCUGAUAUAUUUUUUUAAUUCUAUGAAGUUUUUUUUCCUCCAUGGUAUAUACCAGCAAUGCAUUUCACAGCUUGCUUAGAACAGACUGAAGCAAGAAAGAAAUCUUCUUUGGCAGAAGAUAAUUAGUCCUCCUGACAUUUUGAUUGAUGAAAUACUAGCAGUGUUAAAUACUUCUUUAAGUGAGUGGGUUGCAUGGGAUGAAAUUACUUUCCGAUUUACUAAUCAUGACAGAAACAUAGAGUCUCAACACUGGAAGGGACCUUGAGUCACUUGAUUUAUUUCUCUGUCCAAAGAAAGAAGCAGCUAUACUUGAGACAUUUCUGAUGAAUAUUUGUGUAAAGUGUACUUUAAGACCUCCAGUAAUAGAGACUCCCUAAUCUUCCCAGGCGGUCAAUUCUGAUGCUUCAUUAUCCUCCUAGAAAUUUUUCCUCCUGUCUGCCCUGAACCUUCAGUUUGACAGUCAGCUUAAACUUACACCUACAGGCCACGAUCUAAUCACUUUUUUCAUUAUAAGUUUUCAGUUGACUCACCUGCAGCCACAUAAUUGCUAGAGCUGACCUAAGGGAGGUGGUGGGAGCCUGUGAGCGGGGCCGAGGAAAAGGGUGGAACAGCACUUUGUAUUUUUAGACUAUUAUUUCUCACCCUAUCCAUCAUGGAUAUGAAGAACAGGUAGCCACCUUCUUUCUUUCAGCAAUCUGCUAUUACCCUUCUCCCUCCAUCUGACGUUCUUUAGACUGAAAACCUUGAAUUUUCUUAGUCCUGUCCUGCGUUUCUGAUCUUUGUGAUUUACCUGCCAUGCUCCAUUUGGUAGCUAUUAUGUUAAAAAGGGGUGUCCAAAGUUGAGCACAUCUGUUUGAAGCCUCGCCAGUGCUGGGCUGAGUGGAAGGACUGUUUUGGAUGUAAUGCAGGCCUUUUGCUUGUGUACAAAACACAGGUGAUGACUGUCUUUUUGCAAUCUGGCCUAUUUUUCAUCCAGCAUGUUUAAAUAAACUUCUAAGACAGAAGAGAGGGAGGAGUGUUGGUCUUCGUCUCCCUCAGUAAGGACAGGUGUAUGGAAAGAGGGCUUCUACCAGAGUGGCUGUUCUACACCAAACCUGCCUCACAGAGCCCUUCUCAGGUUAGCCCAGAACUGUUAACUCCUCCUCAGCUUGUGAUUCACUACAGUCCUGGAACUGUCGCCUAACCAACUGCUCUCCAUGUAUUUGCAUUCUGAGCUUGUCUUUCAAUAUACUUACAGUCAUUCAUGGCUUGAUGUUGUCUUCAGAUUUAAUAAGCUUGUUCUCUCUUGGAUCUUCCAGGUCAUCAGUUACGAAGGUAUCUUGUCUAGGACAGACACCUACAAAACAUGCCUUUGAUGCAGCCUUCCACUUUGACAAUGAACAAAUAACAGCUACUGAGAAACACUUUUACAAGCAUGUAUGCAUUAUUGCUGUGAUAUUUUCAUGCAAGCAGUAUGAAAAAAUGAAAAAAGUUGCAUGAAAUGGUAUCAAAAGCCCUACUAAAAGCAAGAGAGAUGAUGAUACUCAGUGAUCCUCCUCUAACCCUGAAGCCUGUCAACUUGUGCUAUAAGGAGAUUUGUUGCUGACAAGUGCAUAAUGGCUUACUUAUCUCUUUGUUUUCUUCUAGAUGCUUAUUAUUUCCAGUAUUUUCCUGGGAAUUAAAACUAAUGGGAUGCAUCUGUAAUUCUUUGAUGCCAGCAUUUCCACCUUGUUACAGACAGAUACCAUGAUUACCUUUUUCAGUUUUCAAGCACUUCACCCGCCUUCUGCAAAGUUCUUGAAACACUAAUAGCUUUGAAAAGUCUUGUCAGUUUUUAUAGUACUCUGGAAUGAAUUUUAUCGUUUGCAGCUGAUUUUAAAAUUUCCAACCAAAGUACUUGGUAACCUUUUGCUUCUCUGUAAAAGACUGAGGUCUUGCCCCUUUGUCACUGAUAUUGAUUGUGCUAUCCCCUGCUUGCAGUUGACAUUUUGGUCAAGAUUGAUGUUAAAAGACAUUAAAUACAUUUGCCUUCUGAGCAUCAUCUAUCAGUAGCAUUCUGGGUUGAAUACAAUAGCAGCCCCUUUAUUCAUUGUCUUCCUACUACUCACAUAGUUAAGAGAUUGUUUCAGUUUUCAGCUAUAUUCCUUGCCAGUUGCUCCUCAUUUUUACUUUCUGAUUUUGCCCUGCUGUCUUUAUUUCCCUGUUGUUCUUGUUUGUAUUUCUUGUAUGCUCCAUCCUUGUGAUUGAGACUUGUGGAAAUACAUGGUUUAACCAGACUGGUUUAUUAAUGGUAAGUCAUAGCAGUUCCCCAGUUCGGUCAUUUUAUUUUGGAUAUGUUAUCUAUAUAUAUGGGUAUAAACUUAAACACUUGUAAAUUUUCCUGUGAUGUUAAUAAUGUGAAGUACUGUUGGUUUAAAAUAUUUUCAAAACACUCAAUUGCAAAUAAGAUGAUAUUUGGGUAAGUAGGUUUUGGCCAGUUUGGAAGUAUUAAUGGUAAAAAUUUCUUUUAAAGUCUUGUUUUACCAGCUGUGGUAUUAUCAAAUCAUUCAGUUAACCUAUUUUUAAUUCUUUAAUAUAAGAAGUAGGUAUCUAAAGCUUGGUAUCUACCUAAAUCAUGAAAAACUGAAAUGACAAUUAACCUAGCUUUUUGGUGUGGUGGGAUAGCACCAAAUAAAAUAGUCUCUGCCAUCUGCUCUUCUGUUGCAUGAAGGUUUUAUUUUCUCUUCCUUCAUAGGGCUAAAUAUAUCAUCUCCAGUGAUUCUGGAAUUGAAGACCAUCGUUCUUGCUUUGAACUCCUGACCACAUCUCCCAUGACGUAACAGAUAAAAAUAUGGCCCCAAAGCAGCAUCUUUUUGAGUAGCUGAAACAAAAUUAAGUGAUUAGUGAAUAGACUAUAAUUAGUGAAUUUUUAAUCUAGGAUAUAGAUCCAUUUGAAUAUUUUUAGAGUAUUUUGGCAUUGAUUUUGUUUAUUGUAUGAUGUAUUCUAGCCAAUGUGCAAACAGAGGCUGUUCUGUCUUGCAAAAACCCUGUGUUCUUUUGUUCUACUCUUACUUCUGGGAGAAGAAAAAGUUCGUAUGGUAUCUUGCAGUACUUAAGUCAGCAUUUUAAGAAUGCCCCUUUAAUAACUUACUGCGGGGAAAAACAAUGCUAAGUUUAAUCAUACAGCUAAUGUCACAAUGUCACCACCUCCUUAACAGCUAAAUGAUAAAAGUGAGGACACAUCAGCAUGAAUUGUUCAGGUCUGUACAUUAUUCAUUUAAACAUCUGCUGUUGGUUCCUCUUUACAUAUGGGAAUAAAUUAUACCACAUCAGCACAUUCUUCAUUCUUUGUGUUUAAGCAUUUAAAAGUUUUUUUUUGUAUUAUUAAUAUUAUUUUUUCUGCUUGGUUGGCAGCCCUUGAAGUUAUCAGUGCCCAGGACUACAGUCAACAGUGUGACGUUUAGAGCACAGGUGUCAUUAUGUACAUGCUGGUGAAACACAUUUUGUCCAGAGACAAUGUAAUGUCUUGGAGUUGAUAAAGGAAUGAAGCAACAAUCUGGACAUUGGUGAGGGAUGCAGUAUAGAAGAAGAAUCAAAUAUUCCUACUACUGCAUGUCAACAGGAUGAAACCAGUGAAGCACAAGAAAGCUCUACCAGUGCCAAACAGUGACACAGAACUUGGUGCAGAAGUUGAAAGAGGGAAUUGGGGCAAAAAAUUCUCCUCACCAGCGAAACAGACCAGCAAGGAAAAAAGUGGCACACCUGCUUUACCAAAUGGAACACUCAGAAAGAAUAAUAUGACCCUCCAGACACCAGAGAGCCUCCUGCAGGAAGGUCUGUAUCUCCAGUAUCAAAUUCAAAGCAUGAGUGCCAAGAAAAAAAGGGAGAACUGAACAAGUCCUCAGCGUGUUCAGCCCAGGAACUGGGAAAUAAAAACAUCCUGGAGUAUGCUGUCUCACUUAGAACCAACAAGAAAUCAUAGGACAUCCAUCAACUCUGAACAACUUAAGUGUAAACAACUAUUACAUGUGCCAAAAUGAGUAGACUAUAUAAAGAUGGACAAAUAUAUCCUGAAGUGUUUGUCUCUUUACUCUCCUGAACCCUUUAAUCAGAAAGCUUUAGCUUUCCUUUAACACUGGAAAAAAUCUAACAGCAGUGUGAACUCCUAACCUGUAAGAGGACAUCCACUGAUAGUAUUUUUGUCAGAGAACAAAUUAUAGAAUUGCCUAAAAAUGUAUGUAAUUUAUUUGUUCUGUACUAGCAGGCACCAUGCCAGGUAGGCAGUUUGCUUUCACAAAUCCAUUUUGCUGUGUUUUACUUGCCUUUACUUUCUUUACUUUUGUCACAAACGUUUAGGGGGAAAAAUGAUGCUGGAAUCUGUAAUAGGGAUUCCAGAUAACUGUGGGCUUUGCACUGUGAGAAUAUUCUAGGAAAUUGCUUAUAAAUUUGCUUGAGGCAUUAUAACACAAGCGCUUCAGUCUAUGGAAUUUGUAACUGCUAUUUUAGGUUACUGUCAAUUGCUUAUUUUUAAGCAGAACUUAUUUUAAGCUUGACAAAUAUAAAAUGUAUUUUUAAGUACAACAGAAUUGCUAUGGUUCUCACUGCUGAAUUUCUGGUGUUUUGAUUAAAUUCUUUAAAUAAAACAGGUGUUAGAGUAAUGGCCUUUACAAGUUAAUUAAUCUUCAUUUUCAAGGGGAUGAGCUACCAUUAAGCUUAGGUUUAUUAUAUGUUUGUGUAAAUUGCAAAGUGAUUUACUGUUCCACAGACGAAACCGUUGUCUAAAAACAGAUCUCACCAGUAGACUGGUACUGUGGUACCUUAUGUGAGUAAAAUACACACGCUCUUUAUUGGUUAAAAAGGUUUCCUUAAAGUCUGUGUUUUGGCUCAUUCAAGUAAUUCUGCUGUGAACAUCAGUCUGAGGAGACAUCAUCUCUUCUAUUCUCUACACUAAUUGUGAAGUUCCUCUUACAGUUGUUAACAGCCUCGAUUUUAUUUAGGUGCCAAGCAAUGCUGUUACAGGGCCAGCAUGCUUCCUGAAUACUUGGAGAGACCUUAUUUACAGUAAAGUAAGUAAAAACUUUUUGUCAUCUUAAAAUAUUAAAAAGUUCAUAUAUCAAUCUCAUACUCACUAAAGAAUGUGUGUGUGUGUAUAAUGAGGCACCUUUUGGGGAGUAUUCAUGUUUUAGUUUUGGUUUUUCAGAUGAGAUUGAGUCUGUUGAGUAGUUGGACACAAAAGGCAUGUUCUGCAAAAUGCA